UAGAUGUGUAUAAUGACAAGGGUAUGACAGGUAUUACAAGGAGAAGGUGACUUUUCAGGACAUUACCCCAUGUCCCCACUUUUCAAAACGCUUAUAAAUCACACAGAAUGGAGUGUAUUGAAAAUCUGAAAUAGCAGAAAGUCUCCUGUAAGGGGUAGGUUUAGGUGUAGGGUUGGUGUAGGACAAUAGCACAUACAGUUUGUACAGUAUAAAAACCAUUACGCCUAUGGGAUGUCCCCACUUUUCACAAAAACAAACGUGUGUGUGUGUGUGUAAUUUAUUUCAUUUUAUUUAUUUAUUUAUUUUAUUUUAUUUUUUUAAAUAAUCUAAGAUGUAGGCUACAAUCAUUACCUCAUGUUAUAUUUUUCCUGGCAAAAAAAAAAAAAAAAAAUCAAUAGAUAUAAAUGUAACUUUAACUAUUUGACACCUCACGUGCAAAGCCCGCGAAAGAACCGGAGGUUAUAUAAGCUGCGGUCGUCACGUGACGCGCACAGCCGGACUCUGAGUGGACGUCGCCUGACGGGAGAGCUUUCAAGAGAUUGUCAUCCGAUUGUUCUGCUCCACAGCACAGCACAGGCUUUGGCUUUUGUGCUGGAUGGAGAAACUGAGAAGUUUAUAAACAGAAGGCAUGGAAGAAGAGAGCAGGUCCUAAAACAAAGAAAUUCUUCUUAAGGAUAAACCUGAGGUCCUGGGAGUUCUUAGAGGUUCUAAAGUGUUUUUUAUGCAUUUGUUGAUGUCAAAUUUUCAAUAAUAAAUUCAAAUAAAUUCUCAUAGUUUUUACAUUAAUAUGGUGUCAUUCUAUGGUGUGUGUAAUAUUUGUGGAAACAACAUUGUUAAAAAAAAUACUGGCUUUAAUAAUACAUUUUUUGUAGUUUUUAGAGAACCAAUUAAUUACAUGAACAGUUUUUUUUUUCAUGUAGGCUAUAUAUAUAAUUAUAUAUAAUAUUGUUUUGGUAAAUUUUGUUGUUGUUGUUAUUAAUUAAAUUAAUAUUGGUUUGUAUUUCAUAUACAUUUCCAUUUGGUAUCCAGACUAAUUGUAUAAUCUAUGCUGGCGUGAUUGUGGCCUGAUGCCGGCAGUGUCGGCUCAGUUUCGGCAACCGGACUCGGACCAGCGUACUCGGGCCGAUUCUAGCGCGUCAUUCACUCCCGUAAUUCACAAGAGUCCGGCAACCGCAUCCCAUGCUGGUCACCAGCAUACCACCACCAUCCCAUGCUGGUCACCAGCGUACCACCAGCAUCCCAUGCUGGUCACCAGCGUACCAGCGUACCACCAGCAUCCCAUGCUGGUCACCAGCGUACCACCAGCAUCCCAUGCUGGUCACCAGCGUACCAGCGUACCACCAGCAUCCCAUGCUGGUCACCAGCGUACCAGCGAACCACCAGCAUCCCAUGCUGGUCACCAGCAUAAUACCAGCACCAAAACACAACAUAUGCUGGUCUAUGCUGGUUUUUCCAGCAGGGAAUGUAGCUCAGUUCACGAACAUGACACUAUUGAGCCAGGCCUUUUUGGACAAUUUCAGUGUCCAAUUUAUUAACAAAUAACUCUUAUGAACCCGCUCAUUUAAUGAAGAGCUGUAUGUUAUUUCCAGUCGGUCUAAAUUCAUUAUAUUGAUACUAACUAUCUCAUCUAAACAGAGUGAUAUGUAAUCGCGUGGUAAAUUAAACUAACAAAUACAACACAGGUAGCAUAACAUGCACAUAAAAGUACAGCAGAAGCACUUAAUCUACGUGAAAUUACUCACCAGCAAAAACUGAUGAACUGGUUUCUCGCAGCGGGCCAGCUGACGAUUACUUCCUCGGAGAAAUACCAUUCUUCCUUAAUUAAUGUUUCGUCGUGAAUGUGCGUGUCUUCAGUGUAACUCGAUAGACCUGUUUCUACUGCGUUUUCUUCGAAAAAAGAAAAUAAUCAGAAAUGCAACAUUUUACAAACUGUCUGGUUGGCGGUUGGCGGUUGAGAACGGCUUGACGUCACGGUUCAAAAUCCAAAAGUGCGCCAAAGUCUGAGCUUCACCAUUGCCAUGGAAACGGGCAGCAAGCAACGCAAGCGUAAAUGCCUGUGUGCAUAAUAUCAUUAUUAAUGUUAUUACGUUAAUGUGUAUAAUUAUAAUAAUUGAUUAUUUUGUGUACUAUACACACAGACGCGCGCGCGCACACACACACACACACACAUACAUACAGUAUAUAACACACAAUACAUACUGGACUAUAUUUCAUAUCUUAGAAAUACUGAUGUUGUCAUUACAUUAUAGCUGUUACAGUUACAAUAUAACACAUUUGUCAUAAAUUAAAUUUAAAUCAUAAAACGAAAAUUUUUGUGAGAAUGUACUAUCUAGGAAAUUAAUUUUUGUAGUUUAAUAAAAUUUUCAGUUAUGAUAAAGUGAGAUCAGACAAUUGUUUAUAUUGUAAAAAUACUUUAGCAGUUUGGCAUUUUUAUCAUAUAUUAAUUCAGAUAGUAACCUUAAAAAUACCACAUUACUUUAUUUGACAUACUGCACUCACCUGCAUUAUUUCUGCCAGCUAGAUGUCAUUGUUUUGGAAAUAUCACACAGAAACAAUACAUAUACCAUUCAAAUAAACACAUUGUAUUUUCUGUAGUAAAUUCAUGCUGUAUAGAAAGUGAUGUGGUAAUCCUGUCAUAUUUAGCUUGUGUUGGAAUUACAACAGAAAAACCACAUACAACAUCUAAUGGUAAAUUCUUGUGAUACUGUACAACAGAAAGUGCUGUGGUAAUCCUGUCAUAUUAAGCUCUGCUCAUUUGUUGUGUGGUAAAUUUAUGUAGUACUGCUGCAGUACCACAGGAAUACCACAGGACAUUUUUGUAAGGGUUUGUAAUGUUGUUUUGCACUUCCCGGCCACUGUACUUCUCUCCUUCACUUUACAUGUAUACAUGACAAACCCUUACAACAGCUCCCUCUAGUGGUACAUCUUAAACAACAGACUUUAUAAAUGAACACGACAUACUUGAUCUAAUAUUUGAUGUUUUUUAAAAUGUUGUAGAUUUAAGUAGCAAAUGAGAAUCGCUAAAAAUAAUGCAUAUAUUUUGAGACAAAUGUCUUCUUAAUGAUUUUCAGUUUUGUUUAAGAUAAUUAAAGCUACAGUUGUUAAAUAACAAGAUGUAAAAGUAUGGUAUUUGGGGUAAAAAGUGCCCCUGCUGUCGGGGCUAAAGGCACAGUAAUUAACAUGAUAAUUAAUAGAUGGCUGACUUUCCAUUUAUUGACAUGACUAGAUUCAGAUAAUAAAUAUCAUAUAUGUUGGGUAUAUACAGUAUUAGAGAUAAUCAACAUGUUUAGAAUGAAACCAUCAUAUUUUAAAACUUGAUAUUAAUCAUAUCAUAUAAUAAAAUAUCAUUCGUUUUUACUAUUGUAAAUCUAUAUUCAGUUAUUAUGGGAUCUCCUUCAAUGUUUUCUGAAUGUUUAAAAAUGUUUAAAAUGUUUGUUUUUUUCUUCUGUAUUUUAAAAUAUAUUUUUAUAUUAACAUAUUUUAAUGACAGUAUAUUUAUUGAACAAAAUAAGCAGAAAAUAGUACAAACUUUGCUAA
Molecule: long non-coding RNA, 3537 nt
Organism: Onychostoma macrolepis
Lineage: Eukaryota; Metazoa; Chordata; Actinopteri; Cypriniformes; Cyprinidae
Exons: 5
Source: RefSeq, a predicted model, not a curated record